Molecule: ribosomal RNA, 213 nt
Filed under: Triticum aestivum (bread wheat)
Lineage: Eukaryota; Viridiplantae; Streptophyta; Magnoliopsida; Poales; Poaceae
Description: partial small subunit ribosomal RNA
Source: RNAcentral
AUGCGUGGAAGGAGGGCAAGAUCCGCGGCACGGCGGUGCUGGUCAAGAGCGGCGUGCUCGACCUCGGUGACUUCAACUCAUCCGUCCUCGACGGCGUCCACAAGAUCCUCGACGACCAAGGACGAUGGCGUCUCCUUCCAUCUCGUCGGCGCCACCGCACCCAACCCCUGUAAGUGUUGGAAAUAUGCCCUAGAGACCACAACAUGUCCCUAG